RNAcentral lists this ribosomal RNA (253 nucleotides) under uncultured bacterium. RNAcentral describes it as "partial 16S ribosomal RNA". It matches the Rfam family "Bacterial small subunit ribosomal RNA", at positions 524 to 776 of the family's 1533-position model. The record is from RNAcentral.
UACAGAGGGUGCAAGUGUUGUUCGGAAUCAUUGGGCGUAAAGAGCGCGUAGGCGGUAUAGUCAGUCAGGUGUGAAAGCCCUGGGCUCAACCCAGGAAUUGCAUUUGAUACUGCUAUGCUCGAGUACGGUAGAGGAUAGUGGAAUUCCCGGUGUAGAGGUGAAAUUCGUAGAUAUCGGGAGGAACACCGAUGGCGAAAGCAGCUAUCUGGGCCGAUACUGACGCUGAGGCGCGAAAGCGUGGGGAGCAAACAGG